UUAUUAUCAUGUUUUUUCCAAUUAUUGCUGUUAAUGAAAUGUAUUUUUCAGCCUUCUAUUUGGGAACCUGUUCGUCUACUUCCAGUUCCAAGGACAGGAACACGUUUCUUAUCAUUCUAGGAUGUUAGUGUUUGGAGUCCUUUUUGGAAUUUGUUGCCUUGGUCUGAUUUUCAUCCUCAUUAUGAAAGGUGGUGGUAGACAAAGUGUGGAAUCACUAGAAGCAACAAGUUUUAACCUCAU
Long non-coding RNA from Limulus polyphemus (Atlantic horseshoe crab), 240 nucleotides. RefSeq lists it as uncharacterized. The record is from RefSeq and is a predicted model, not a curated record. The transcript has 3 exons. Lineage: Eukaryota; Metazoa; Arthropoda; Merostomata; Xiphosura; Limulidae.